UACGGAAGGCAGCAGUGGGGAAUAUUGCACAAUGGGCGCAAGCCUGAUGCAGCCAUGCCGCGUGUAUGAAGAAGGCCUUCGGGUUGUAAAGUACUUUCAGCGGGGAGGAAGGGAGUAAAGUUAAUACCUUUGCUCAUUGACGUUACCCGCAGAAGAAGCACCGGCUAACUCCGUGCCAGCAGCCGCGGUAAUACGGAGGGUGCAAGCGUUAAUCGGAAUUACUGGGCGUAAAGCGCACGCAGGCGGUUUUGUUAAGUCAGAUGUGAAAUCCCCGGGCUCAACCUGGGAACUGCAUCUGAUACUGGCAAGCUUGAGUCUCGUAGAGGGGGUAGAAUUCCAGGUGUAGCGGUGAAAUGCGUAGAGAUCUGGAGGAAUACCGGUGGCGAAGGCGGCCCCUGGGACGAGACUGACGCUCAGGUGCGAAAGCGUGGGGAGCGAAACAGGAUUAGAUACC
RNAcentral lists this ribosomal RNA (454 nucleotides) under uncultured bacterium. Its description in RNAcentral is "bacterial SSU rRNA". It matches the Rfam family "Bacterial small subunit ribosomal RNA", at positions 340 to 786 of the family's 1533-position model. The record is from RNAcentral.